UGCUAGAGAGGGCAAUCCAGUCGCAGCAGA
RNAcentral lists this non-coding RNA (30 nucleotides) under Rattus norvegicus (Norway rat). The record is from RNAcentral. Lineage: Eukaryota; Metazoa; Chordata; Mammalia; Rodentia; Muridae.